This is a long non-coding RNA of Strigops habroptila (Kakapo), 344 nucleotides long. RefSeq lists it as uncharacterized. The record is from RefSeq and is a predicted model, not a curated record. The transcript is spliced from 3 exons. NCBI's taxonomy places the organism in Eukaryota, Metazoa, Chordata, Aves, Psittaciformes, Psittacidae.
ACACAGUGCAAAAGCAGUCCAUGAAUAUGAGAAAAUAGGCAGCAGAGGAAUCAAAAGGAGGGGAAACUUUUAGGAUUAAAAAAACCACCCAAACUGCAGUUCCACUUUGACGAAAACAGGCAAUCCAAUUUCAAACUUGGAGCCUCUGAAAUGUGGAAAACCCUCUCCAGGCUGACAAGGAUAUAGCUAGAUUAAAACGAAAUAGCCUGAAUAGCCCAUAAGGCAGAAACUGUCAACGACGGAUAUCGAUGACUAACAUCACGUUCCCCUGCCGCCUUCAAGGACUGCAUUUUACUUCCUGCAAGUUCUAACCCCUAAUAAAAAGUGUGCAAAUGAAAAGCAAA